RNAcentral lists this ribosomal RNA (468 nucleotides) under uncultured bacterium. RNAcentral's name for it is "partial 16S ribosomal RNA". It matches the Rfam family "Bacterial small subunit ribosomal RNA", at positions 28 to 507 of the family's 1533-position model. The record is from RNAcentral.
GACGAACGCUGGCGGCGUGCUUAACACAUGCAAGUCGAACGGAAAGGCCCUGCUUUUGUGGGGUGCUCGAGUGGCGAACGGGUGAGUAACACGUGAGUAACCUGCCCUUGACUUUGGGAUAACUUCAGGAAACUGGGGCUAAUACCGGAUAGGAGCUCCUGCUGCAUGGUGGGGGUUGGAAAGUUUCGGCGGUUGGGGAUGGACUCGCGGCUUAUCAGCUUGUUGGUGGGGUAGUGGCUUACCAAGGCUUUGACGGGUAGCCGGCCUGAGAGGGUGACCGGCCACAUUGGGACUGAGAUACGGACCAGACUCCUACGGGAGGCAGCAGUGGGGAAUAUUGCACAAUGGGCGGAAGCCUGAUGCAGCAACGCCGCGUGCGGGAUGACGGCCUUCGGGUUGUAAACCGCUUCCGCCUGUGACGAAGCGUGAGUGACGGUAAUGGGUAAAGAAGCACCGGCUAACUACGUG